AUUGAACGCUGGCGGCAUGCCUUACACAUGCAAGUCGAACGGCAGCACGGGUGCUUGCACCUGGUGGCGAGUGGCGAACGGGUGAGUAAUACAUCGGAACAUGUCCUGUAGUGGGGGAUAGCCCGGCGAAAGCCGGAUUAAUACCGCAUACGAUCUACGGAUGAAAGCGGGGGACCUUCGGGCCUCGCGCUAUAGGGUUGGCCGAUGGCUGAUUAGCUAGUUGGUGGGGUAAAGGCCUACCAAGGCGACGAUCAGUAGCUGGUCUGAGAGGACGACCAGCCACACUGGGACUGAGACACGGCCCAGACUCCUACGGGAGGCAGCAGUGGGGAAUUUUGGACGAUGGGCGAAAGCCUGAUCCAGCAAUGCCGCGUGUGUGAAGAAGGCCUUCGGGUUGUAAAGCACUUUUGUCCGGAAAGAAAUCCUUGGCUCUAAUACAGUCGGGGGAUGACGGUACCGGAAGAAUAAGCACCGGCUAACUACGUG
RNAcentral lists this ribosomal RNA (486 nucleotides) under uncultured bacterium. RNAcentral describes it as "partial 16S ribosomal RNA". It matches the Rfam family "Bacterial small subunit ribosomal RNA", at positions 30 to 507 of the family's 1533-position model. The record is from RNAcentral.